This 254-nucleotide ribosomal RNA is filed under the name uncultured bacterium. RNAcentral's name for it is "partial 16S ribosomal RNA". It matches the Rfam family "Bacterial small subunit ribosomal RNA", at positions 524 to 776 of the family's 1533-position model. The record is from RNAcentral.
UACGGAGGGGGCUAGCGUUGUUCGGAAUUACUGGGCGUAACGGGCGCGCAGGCGGCUGCUCAAGUCAGGCGUUAAAGGCCUGGGCUCAACCCGGGAAUUGCGAUUGAGACUGGGCUGGCUUGAGUGCGGGAGAGGAUGGUGUAAUUCCCAGUGUAGAGAUGACAUUCGUAGAUAUUUGGAAGUACACCGGGGGCGAUGGCGGCCAUCUGGACAGCAACUGACUCUGAGGCGCGAAAGAGUGGGGAGAAAGCAGG